AAGUUUAUACUUUUUUUAGAA
Molecule: transfer RNA, 21 nt
Filed under: Callosobruchus nigripennis
Lineage: Eukaryota; Metazoa; Arthropoda; Insecta; Coleoptera; Chrysomelidae
Description: partial tRNA-Leu
Source: RNAcentral